Molecule: ribosomal RNA, 301 nt
Filed under: uncultured bacterium
Lineage: Bacteria
Description: partial 16S ribosomal RNA
Rfam family: Bacterial small subunit ribosomal RNA
Source: RNAcentral
CAGCAGCCACGGUAAUACGGAGGGUGCAGGCGUUAAUCGGAAUUACUGGCCGUAAAGCGCACGCAGGCGGUUUGUUAAGUCAGAUGUGAAAUCCCCGAGCUUAACUUGGGAACUGCAUUUGAAACUGGCAAGCUAGAGUCUUGUAGAGGAUGGUGGAAUUCCCGGUGUAGCGGUGAAAUGCGUAGAGAUCGGGAGGAACAUCAGUGGCGAAGGCGGCCAUCUGGGACAACGCUGACGCUGAGGCACGAAAGCGUGGGGAGCAAACAGGAUUAGAUACCCGAGUAGUCCCUGUCUCUUAUAC